UCAGAAUGAAAUUCUCUAUUUAUUUAAUGUACAAUUGACACGAAAAAAAUUAGUAUUUUUUUAAAGUGCCUGGAAUUUAAUUUUUCUUAAAACAAAUCAAUAGAUCUUUUUCUCCAGAUUUCAUUGAUACCAUACACUCUAUAGGUACCUCUAAUAGUUUCCGAGAUAAUCGAAAAAAACAUUUGGUCCUUCGAGCCGGAUUUUGAGUUCAAACGGCGAUAUCUUAGGAACAAAAUGAGAUAACCCCAUGGUGUUUGGGCUUAUUUUAAUCAGCAUGAAAUUGUCUAUUAGGUUUUUUUAAAAAAAAUUGAAAAAUCGAUGCUUAAAAAAAAUUCCAGUUAUUUUAAUCUCAUAUGAAAGCCAAAGAGUUUAUUUACCAAACGCAUGCUUUCUUGCAUAUAUAUUUAAUAAAAUGCACUUUUUACACGUGAACAAUAAGUGAUCAAACCACCCUUGUAAAUAUUAUAUAAACGACAUUGUACAUAACGAAGUACAAACUGUAUAUAACGGACAUAAUUAUUAUUGUACUUCCUCAGCUACUCCGCCACACGGGCUUUCUAUGGUGUACAUAACGUAUUUUGUGAUAUUUGAAAACUCCUUACCCGCAUCACUCUAUAUAAUAACAUUAAUUAAUUAAUUAAUUCAAUAAUUAAAUCAAAAUGUGUAAUUUUUUGAACAAAUCGUCAUGCCGAAUAAUGGACCAGUUUUGGACCAAAUUUAUUUUAUUUGUUGUAUAGGCGUUUGUAUAUAGGAUGGACCGAUAAUGGGAGGUCUAAUAAAGGUGUGGACCUUUUAAAGCAUCAAAAAGGAGUAAAUUAAGUCAAGAAAAAUGUAUUUGCUUUCAAAUGCAGUUUGUUUGAUGAAGAUCGGUUAAGUAGAUCCGGAGAUAUCGGCUGUAGACUCCCAGGUCGACGCUCCAAGCUCCUAGUGACGUCAACCAAACUUUGAAUACUGAUAACUUAUAAGCGACUAAUAUUUUGGAAAUUAUUAUAGUUGAUUAGAAUAGAAUAUCACUUGGGCUACAACUUUGUUUCAUAAAUUAUUUUUGUGAAGUAAAAAUCAAGAAAGAUACAAAAGAUUUUCCUAACAGAUCAAGUCACUGUCCGAGUCUCCGAGUUCCAGUUUGGAUAUCUCAAAAACCAUAUGGUUUAUGGAUUUUAAGUCGUCUACAGAAAAUAUUGUGCAACUAAAUUACUUUCCAAUAGUGUUUAUUUGAUGAUCAUAGCAUCAUUAGAUCAAGAGUUAUCGGAUUUAGACUCCCAGGUCGACGCUCCAAGCUCUUAGUGACGUCAACCAAACUUUGAAUACUGAUAACUUAUAAGCGAAUAAUAUUUUGGAAAUUAUUAUAAUUGAUUAGGAUAAAAUAUUACUUGGACUACAACUUUGCUUUAUAAAUUAUUUCUCUGAACUAAAAAUUAAGAAAGAUACAAAAAAUUUUCGUAACAGAUCAAGUCACUGUCCAAGUCUCCGAGUUCCAGGUCGGAUAUCUCAAAAUCUAUAGGAUUUAUGGAUUUUAAGAUAUCCACAAAAAUUGUUGUGCAACUAAAUUGCUUUCCAAUAAAGUUUAUUUGAUGAUCGUGGCAUCAUUAGAUCAAGAGUUAUCGGAUUUAGACUCCCAGGUCGAUGCACCAAGCUCCUAGUGACGUCAACCAAACUUUGAACAUACAUAACUUGUAAACGGUUAAUAAUUUGGAAAUGAUUAGUGUUGUUUACGAUAGAACCUGACUUGGUUUACAACUUUAUUAAAUAAGAAAUCUUUCUAAAUUGUACCGUUAAAAAGAUACAAAAGAUUUUGUUACUAGAUCCGAUCACUAUUGAGGUCCCUGGGUUCUAGGGCAUAUAUCUCUUUAAAUAUUCGUUCUAUGCUUUUAGAGGCGUCUACAAAAAUUUUAGACUAACUAAUUUCCUUUCAAACAAACUUUAUUUUAUAAUCGUAUCUUCAGUAGAUCAAGAGAUAUCCGCCAUAAAGUCUCUUACAUUUGUUUGAAAACUCCUUGCCCACAUCGCUGUACAUAAUAAUGUAUUGCGCGCUUGUCAUACAAUUAGUGUCCCAAUAAGGUCCAUCUUAUAUACAUAAUAUUUUUAUAUACCUAAGGAAUUAAUCAAAACGACAUACUGUAAAUGACGCAAUAAUACCUAAAAAAAUAAAUAACCCACAUAGUGACUAAUCUUAAGAGGCCUUAAACUAAAACCACAUUAUGUACAUAAGAGUAUAAUUAGUAAAUAAUCCGCAAUAAAUGUUGUGUAAUAUAUAAAGUUUAUUAAGUUAGAAGAAAAUUGUGAUGUACAAUCAUAUAUACAGGGACGGGCCAACAAAGUUGUACAGGGUCUUAUCAAGAAACAUGGUUUAUUUGGCCAAUUGUAAUGAGUUCCCUAUAUAUUUAUAUAAUGUAUAUAGAAAGAGUGGGGGAAAUUCUUAUGUGCUAGAGGCAGAGUGCGUAGAGUUAAGUGUAGAGUCGCUGUAGUCGCAUCUAAGUUGAGCCGUAGAUGCGGAUACGGUCGAUUUUGUAAAUAGUUGGACAUAAAUCAAUAAAAGAUCUUAAUGUUGA
This 2549-nucleotide long non-coding RNA is filed under the name Anthonomus grandis grandis. Its description in RNAcentral is "uncharacterized LOC126746283". Lineage: Eukaryota; Metazoa; Arthropoda; Insecta; Coleoptera; Curculionidae. The record is from RNAcentral.